GAUGAACGCUAGCUACAGGCUUAACACAUGCAAGUCGAGGGGCAGCAUGGUCUUAGCUUGCUAAGGCCGAUGGCGACCGGCGCACGGGUGAGUAACACGUAUCCAACCUGCCGUCUACUCUUGGACAGCCUUCUGAAAGGAAGAUUAAUACAAGAUGGCAUCAUGAGUCCGCAUGUUCACAUGAUUAAAGGUAUUCCGGUAGACGAUGGGGAUGCGUUCCAUUAGAUAGUAGGCGGGGUAACGGCCCACCUAGUCUUCGAUGGAUAGGGGUUCUGAGAGGAAGGUCCCCCACAUUGGAACUGAGACACGGUCCAAACUCCUACGGGAGGCAGCAGUGAGGAAUAUUGGUCAAUGGGCGAGAGCCUGAACCAGCCAAGUAGCGUGAAGGAUGACUGCCCUAUGGGUUGUAAACUUCUUUUCUUAGGGACGAAGCAAGUGACGGUACCUAAGGAAUAAGCCACGGCU
This 465-nucleotide ribosomal RNA is filed under the name uncultured bacterium. RNAcentral describes it as "bacterial SSU rRNA". It matches the Rfam family "Bacterial small subunit ribosomal RNA", at positions 28 to 498 of the family's 1533-position model. The record is from RNAcentral.